This is a long non-coding RNA of Hippocampus zosterae (dwarf seahorse), 1213 nucleotides long. RefSeq lists it as uncharacterized. Lineage: Eukaryota; Metazoa; Chordata; Actinopteri; Syngnathiformes; Syngnathidae. The transcript has 4 exons. The record is from RefSeq and is a predicted model, not a curated record.
CUCGUAUUGGAGCUGCAUCACCUGAACAGAGGAAAGUCGGGGAUUACGUUUUUCGACACGUCAAAUCAGAUUUUUGUGACUCCUCCGAGAUCCGAAGAAAUCCCAAAGCCAACACUGAAUACCAUUUCUAGCAGAGUUGGUGAGGUCAUUGAUCUGAAGCCUGGCCGCCUUCAGUUCCUCCUGCAGGGCCUCGGCCUUCGCGCCGUCCAUCCCGCCUACCCCCGAGAAUCCUCCGUGCCGGGCCCCGCCCUCGUGAGUGCCGGCUUUGAAUCGCAUCUUGUUCAGCUCGUUGGUCACCCUCUGGUUCUGUUCCUCUGCGUCGGCGAGGUUCCUCCUCAGAAGCUCCGCCUCGUCCUCCACCAGCUGCAGCUGCUGCCUGAGCUCCGUCAGGUCGUCCCCGAGCCCUCGCCCCAAACCAGGACCCCCAGCUGAGCCGACCCCGGAGCUGCCCUCCCCUUCGCCCUCACCGCGCAGGUCGUCCAGCUCGGCUCGGAGGCCUCGGUUCUCCACCUGGACAAGACAACAAGGAGAGACGGCGGCUCUGAAAUGCUAACCGUGGCUGUUUGUAAUUACUCCCGAGCCGCUACACAUCCUUAAUUUGCCGUUUUGUAAUGCUGCAACUCAGUUUUCCUGUCGCAAAUAGAGAGCAUCUGUAACUGAUGCUGUUGUCCACACGCACCUCCAACUCGACUAUUUUCCUCCCCAGGAUGUUGGCUUCCUCCUCCACAAGACGGAGGCGCAGCUUGAGCUCUGACUCGCGGGUAGACGGCGGACCCCCGGCCUCGCCCUUGGGAUGGCUGCUGUCCAAUUCGCCGUAGAAGGAGCGAUACUUUUGCAGCUCUUGCUCCAGACGGUCCUUCUCCUUGUCGAUGGUCGCCGUCUUCCUCCUCAUGAGGUCCACUUCCAGGGAUCUUCUGUCUUUCUCCCUUUACUUUCAGGCUGCUUUCAAACCUGCAGCUGAUCAGCAAUCACCUCCCGUGUUGCCCGCCUCCCUGCCCAGCCUGGCUCCACUUUUUCCUCCCCGGACCACUUGACCCUGCACCCAUCCUUCCCUCAUCCCGUUCGCUUUUGGAUCCUCUGCCGCCAUUACCUUCGCUACCCAUAACAAACUGAUCACGAAAAAAAUUGGCCGCAUAGCGGGAGGGCGGGGGGCACAAAACACUGUACUGCCAUGCCCAAUGUAAUGUUUAUCUACCCACCUCUUUGGUUUUUU